GCGGGAAGAGCUCAAAUUUGAAAUCUGGUAGCCUUCGGUUGCCCGAGUUGUAAUCUAGAGAAGUGUUUUCCGUGCCGGCCCAUGUACAAGUCCCUUGGAACAGGGCGUCAUAGAGGGUGAGAAUCCCGUCCUUGACAUGGACCCCCGGUGCUUUGUGAUACACUUUCAACGAGUCGAGUUGUUUGGGAAUGCAGCUCAAAAUGGGUGGUGAAUUCCAUCUAAAGCUAAAUAUUGGCGAGAGACCGAUAGCGAACAAGUACCGUGAGGGAAAGAUGAAAAGCACUUUGGAAAGAGAGUUAAACAGUACGUGAAAUUGUUGAAAGGGAAACGAUUGAAGUCAGUCAUGCUCUUGGGACUUACCUCCCUUGAGUGGGGUCAACAUCAGUUUUGAUCGAUGGAUAAAGGCACGGGGAAGGUAGCACUCUCGGGUGAACUUAUAGCCUCGCGUCAUAUACAUUGAUUGGGACUGAGGAACGCAGCAUGCCUUAUGGCCGGGAUUCGUCCACGUACAUGCUUAGGAUGUUGACAUAAUGGCUUUAAACGACCCGUCUUGA
Molecule: ribosomal RNA, 554 nt
Filed under: Naganishia albida
Lineage: Eukaryota; Fungi; Basidiomycota; Tremellomycetes; Filobasidiales; Filobasidiaceae
Description: partial large subunit ribosomal RNA
Rfam family: Eukaryotic large subunit ribosomal RNA
Source: RNAcentral